RNAcentral lists this ribosomal RNA (1351 nucleotides) under Lentilactobacillus kefiri. RNAcentral describes it as "bacterial SSU rRNA". It matches the Rfam family "Bacterial small subunit ribosomal RNA", at positions 74 to 1407 of the family's 1533-position model. Lineage: Bacteria; Bacillati; Bacillota; Bacilli; Lactobacillales; Lactobacillaceae. The record is from RNAcentral.
UUUAAAUGAUUUAACACGAAACGAGUGGCGAACUGGUGAGUAACACGUGGGUAACCUGCCCUUGAAGUAGGGGAUAACACUUGGAAACAGGUGCUAAUACCGUAUAACAACCAAAACCACAUGGUUUUGGUUUAAAAGAUGGCUUCGGCUAUCACUUUAGGAUGGACCCGCGGCGUAUUAGCUUGUUGGUAAGGUAAUGGCCUACCAAGGCAAUGAUACGUAGCCGACCUGAGAGGGUAAUCGGCCACAUUGGGACUGAGACACGGCCCAAACUCCUACGGGAGGCAGCAGUAGGGAAUCUUCCACAAUGGACGAAAGUCUGAUGGAGCAACGCCGCGUGAGUGAUGAAGGGUUUCGGCUCGUAAAACUCUGUUGUUGGAGAAGAACAGGUGUCAGAGUAACUGUUGACAUCUUGACGGUAUCCAACCAGAAAGCCACGGCUAACUACGUGCCAGCAGCCGCGGUAAUACGUAGGUGGCAAGCGUUGUCCGGAUUUAUUGGGCGUAAAGCGAGCGCAGGCGGUUUCUUAGGUCUGAUGUGAAAGCCUUCGGCUUAACCGGAGAAGUGCAUCGGAAACCAGGAGACUUGAGUGCAGAAGAGGACAGUGGAACUCCAUGUGUAGCGGUGAAAUGCGUAGAUAUAUGGAAGAACACCAGUGGCGAAGGCGGCUGUCUGGUCUGUAACUGACGCUGAGGCUCGAAAGCAUGGGUAGCGAACAGGAUUAGAUACCCUGGUAGUCCAUGCCGUAAACGAUGAGUGCUAAGUGUUGGAGGGUUUCCGCCCUUCAGUGCUGCAGCUAACGCAUUAAGCACUCCGCCUGGGGAGUACGACCGCAAGGUUGAAACUCAAAGGAAUUGACGGGGGCCCGCACAAGCGGUGGAGCAUGUGGUUUAAUUCGAUGCUACGCGAAGAACCUUACCAGGUCUUGACAUCUUCUGCCAACCUAAGAGAUUAGGCGUUCCCUUCGGGGACAGAAUGACAGGUGGUGCAUGGUUGUCGUCAGCUCGUGUCCGUGAGAUGUUGGGUUAAGUCCCGCAACGAGCGCAACCCUUAUUGUUAGUUGCCAGCAUUCAGUUGGGCACUCUAGCAAGACUGCCGGUGACAAACCGGAGGAAGGUGGGGAUGACGUCAAAUCAUCAUGCCCCUUAUGACCUGGGCUACACACGUGCUACAAUGGACGGUACAACGAGUCGCGAAACCGCGAGGUCAAGCUAAUCUCUUAAAGCCGUUCUCAGUUCGGAUUGCAGGCUGCAACUCGCCUGCAUGAAGUUGGAAUCGCUAGUAAUCGUGGAUCAGCAUGCCACGGUGAAUACGUUCCCGGGCCUUGUACACACCGCCCGUCACACCAUGA